Molecule: ribosomal RNA, 656 nt
Filed under: Mycolicibacterium chlorophenolicum
Lineage: Bacteria; Bacillati; Actinomycetota; Actinomycetes; Mycobacteriales; Mycobacteriaceae
Description: bacterial SSU rRNA
Rfam family: Bacterial small subunit ribosomal RNA
Source: RNAcentral
GGAUCAGCCCACGGCCUAUCAGCUUGUUGGUGAGGUUACGGCUCACCAAGGCGACGACGGGUAGCCGGCCUGAGAGGGUGUCCGGCCACACUGGGACUGAGAUACGGCCCAGACUCCUACGGGAGGCAGCAGUGGGGAAUAUUGCACAAUGGGCGCAAGCCUGAUGCAGCGACGCCGCGUGAGGGAUGACGGCCUUCGGGUUGUAAACCUCUUUCGCCAGGGACGAAGCGCAAGUGACGGUACCUGGAGAAGAAGCACCGGCCAACUACGUGCCAGCAGCCGCGGUAAUACGUAGGGUGCGAGCGUUGUCCGGAAUUACUGGGCGUAAAGAGCUCGUAGGUGGUUUGUCGCGUUGUUCGUGAAAACUCACAGCUUAACUGUGGGCGUGCGGGCGAUACGGGCAGACUGGAGUACUGCAGGGGAGACUGGAAUUCCUGGUGUAGCGGUGGAAUGCGCAGAUAUCAGGAGGAACACCGGUGGCGAAGGCGGGUCUCUGGGCAGUAACUGACGCUGAGGAGCGAAAGCGUGGGGAGCGAACAGGAUUAGAUACCCUGGUAGUCCACGCCGUAAACGGUGGGUACUAGGUGUGGGUUUCCUUCCUUGGGAUCCGUGCCGUAGCUAACGCAUUAAGUACCCCGCCUGGGGAGUACGGCCGC